CUUGUCUCAAAGAUUAAGCCAUGCAUGUCUAAGUAUAAGCAACUAUACCGUGAAACUGCGAAUGGCUCAUUAAAUCAGUUAUCGUUUAUUUGAUAGUACCUUUACUUGGAUAACUGUGGUAAUUCUAGAGCUAAUACAUGCUAAAAACCUCGACUUCGGAAGGGGUGUAUUUAUUAGAUAAAAAACCAAUGCCCUUCGGGGCUCCUUGGUGAUUCAUAAUAACUUAACGAAUCGCAUGGCCUUGCGCCGGCGAUGGUUCAUUCAAAUUUCUGCCCUAUCAACUUUCGAUGGUAAGAUAGUGGCUUACCAUGGUCUUAACGGGUAACGGGGAAUUAGGGUUCUAUUCCGGAGAGGGAGCCUGAGAAACGGCUACCACAUCCAAGGAAGGCAGCAGGCGCGCAAAUUACCCAAUCCCAAUACGGGGAGGUAGUGACAAUAAAUACUGAUACAGGGCUCUUUUGGGUCUUGUAAUUGGAAUGAGUACAAUUUAAAUCCCUUAACGAGGAACAAUUGGAGGGCAAGUCUGGUGCCAGCAGCCGCGGUAAUUCCAGCUCCAAUAGCGUAUAUUAAAGUUGUUGCAGUUAAAAAGCUCGUAGUUGAACUUUGGGUCUGGCUGAUCUGUCCUCCUAAUCGAGCGCACGGAUUCGGUCGGACCUUUCCUUCUGGGGAACCCUAUGCCCUUCACUGGGCGUAGUGGGGAACCAGGAC
Molecule: ribosomal RNA, 708 nt
Filed under: Chaetothyriales sp.
Lineage: Eukaryota; Fungi; Ascomycota; Eurotiomycetes; Chaetothyriales
Description: SSU rRNA
Rfam family: Eukaryotic small subunit ribosomal RNA
Source: RNAcentral